Molecule: RNA transcript, 4823 nt
Organism: Chelonia mydas (Green sea turtle)
Lineage: Eukaryota; Metazoa; Chordata; Testudines; Cheloniidae
Gene: DCTN3
Gene name: dynactin subunit 3
Exons: 8
Source: RefSeq, a predicted model, not a curated record
GCGGGGAUUGGGCCCGGGGGGGGGGGGGGCGCCAAGCUUUGGCUGCUGGUUCCUUCAGCAGCGCGGCCAUGACACCCCCCCAACCCCUCCCCGGCUGCGGGUUCUUCUCCAUUGGCCUUGCUCGCUCCACUCCUGCCCCGAGCGAUGCUCCCCGGCCGGCAGAGCGCUCCCGGGCCGGGGGGGCAGGACUAGUGCGGGGCCUUUUGUCCCAGUGCCCCGACGGGCUGCCUGGCUCGGGGCUGCUUCAUUUACUUCUGAAUUGCAGCCCCCUCUGGGGUACCACACGGGCUCUGUUUAGCAGCCCCUCCUAACGUCACGUGACCAUUCGGGCAGCUCGUUGAAAUAUGCUGCCUGUGAAUGUUAGUAGCUGAAACCGUUUUAAAUAGGUUUCAGAGCAGCAGCCGUGUUAGUCUGUGUUCGCAAAAAGAACAGGAGGACUUGUGGCACCUUAGAGACUAACCAAUUUAUAUGAGCAUAAGCUUUCGUGAGCUACAACUCACUUCAUCGGAUGCAUUCAUCCGUUUUAAAUAGACAUUUUCUCUCCUGUCACUGCUGGUCUGUUCCUGACAGUUUAGUUGUGGGAUCAUAGAAGUGUACUUAAUCCCUGUUUGGUUUAUACCAUCUCUUACCUUCUAGGCAGCAGAUGGUUUGGUGAAAGUUCAGGUGGCUUUGGGGAACAUUGCAAGCAAAAGAGAGAGGAUUAAAAUUUUGUAUAAGAAAAGAUUGUGCAUUCUACCCACUGUGAUCAGAUCCCCCUAGAAAUCUGCAGCCCAUCAGGCCUGGUGUCAUCAGCAAGGGGUAGUACAUGUUCAGUGUAUGUCUACCUGCAGAAAAUCAUGGGCUUUGACUUCUCACUGGUAUUGGAGCUUAUUACUCCCCGCUGCGUCUAUCAAGGACAACUCCGAUUGCAAGCAACCUUGGGAUUUUUAUAUCAGAGGAGAGAUGUCGCAGAAACGGCAUGCUGUGCCUGGAAAGGACGUAGUGGUGCCACUUCAGCACACCCUCGGCCAGCUUCAGAAAGCAAGACUUGCGUGUGUAAAGGAAAGACAUUUCAGAGGGCAGGAGAAGUAGCAGGCCACAUGAUGGAAAGGGAGCACUCUGUGCCUUCCCUUUAAAGAAUGAACUGUGACCUCUGCAGUUGAAUUUAAAAUUGGCUAAUGUGAUACUUAGCAGUUGAAGAUUUAAUAAAAUAGCUGGAUCCUCAGUACAUUGAUCGAAUGGCUGUUCUCGAUGCCAUGAAACUGCAGUUCAUCUUAGCAGGCACGUCAUGAAAUGAAAGGAGUAUGCUCAUUCCCCAAAAGCUCUCAAGACAAGCAGGGUGAGGGAGAUCAUAACUGAAUGCACCUCUCCAUCUCUCUUUUAAUCAUGGGCUUAGGACAGAAAUGCCUCAUUUGGCUUCUCGUCUUUCCCUGUAAACUGGCCAAUGCUUCAGUAAAAGAUCAGAACUGGAGAAACUACAGUAUGAAUUGUACAGGGAAGAACAAGCCUGGUUCGGUCCCCAGUCUCUGGCUCCCUGGCAAGCACUUGGAAUGCAACUGGCACUGCGGAGCUAGUUCCUGCAUGAGGAGUGCUUUUCUUGCUACCAAAGGCCUUCCCUGAAUGAGUAAUGGACCUUGACUCUCUCUGAGUCUGUCUAGCCUUUGGUCAGAAGCUUUGGGGGCGGGGAGGGUGGAGAAAGGGCAACAAUUCCACACACCCCAUGUCUAGCAACUGUUAUGGUAACAAAACUGCUCUUAUGAACACUGAAGUGUAUAUAUUGUGAUGUUUAAGUAUUGAACUUCUAACCCUGCUCUGCUCUCUGACAGGGGACCUGAGUCGCCCCUCUCCUGUGGUAGGCAUGUGUAAAUCCAUUGUCUCCAGUGGCGUUGUCCCCGAUUCUUAUUGGUAGGAGCAGUUUAUUCUUUCCCAAGCUGCCCUUCUGGAACAGGUGAACAACCUCCAGCCAUUCUUGGACAGUGCACACAUAGAAUCAUCAUAGAAUAUCAGGGUUGGAAGGGACCUCAGGAGAUCAUCUAGUCCAACCCCCUGCUCAAAGCAGGACCAAUCCCCAACUAAAUCAUCCCAGCCAGGACUUUGUCAAGCCUGACCUUAAAAACUUCUAAGGAAGGAGAUUCCACCAUCUCCCUAGCUGCUCCUGACCAUGCUGCCAAACUGCAGCGACUUGCUCAAAUCCACAUACAGCAGCAGGCCGAGAUCCCGAUGGCAUAGUGAGGCAGUGUGGCCUCCUUCCGACGCAGAGAGGGAGAGAUGACCACCACCCAACUACAGUCCCCUUCCCAGUUCAGGCAGUCAGAGUUUAUUACAAGCAACAAGUCCAAGAUAAUGGAACACCGGAUGUAUCAACAUCUACACGCAGACAUCAGGACCAUGUUUGACGGCAUGCUCCACACAGCUAAAGAAAUCAUGGAGAAGAGCUACACCCCAGGAGAGAUGUGCCACCAGUGAUUCUGGCGAAAUGUCACAGACAUAUGAACUUGGCAGAACAGAGGGGAGACCGUCACUGGAGACCAUCGUUCUUUUCUUUUGCAAACUUUCCAGCUACUAUUUCACAGGUAGAGCGCAUCUGUCCACUCUGUAGAUUCUCUUGCACUGCUUUCAAAUGCCCUCAUUCAAAAACCUUCUCAAGAACCAGUUCUCCAGUGAUGGACCUACAGUGUUAGCCCACGAAUUAAGGGUGGGUCAAGGGGCAGCCAGGUAUGGAGAAUAUGCAUUUUGAUAAACUGCUCUGGCUAAAUGAGUCAUUGGAGUGGAGGACUGGACCCAGUGUCCCUGUGCCUCAGUGGGUCACAGCUGACAGUGCCAAAUUCCAGACAAACCCCUGUGAAAUAGGGCAGGCUCACCCCAAACUGGUGGUGGCUCUCUCUUAUUGGAGCAUGCCAAACCAGUAACAAAAGUAAACUUCUUCUGUCUCGCCACACUGGUCAACAAGAAGUCAAAAAUGCAGUGUCCUCAGACACUCCAGCCCUUGUCUCACCACCCAGAUACUGGAUUCUAUGAUGAGUGGUUACUGAAGACCAGUUUAAUCAAACAUAGGGUCCUUCUAAUCUCAAUAGAUCAGCCACUUAGCCUGGUCAAUAUAUACCUCAGAUCUUACCCAUAAUCACACUGAUUCCAGUCCUUGAGUAACUAAAAACUAAAGUUUAAUCAUAAAAGAAGAAGAAAGUUGGCAAUUAUUUGUAUGUAUAUGAUUUAUUAACCAUUAACAAGUCCUUAUAUCAGGUUUGCAGCAGUGAUGGAAUAGACUGCUGGCUUGGAAAGUCUCUCUGGUAACGUCCAAAAAAUUGGAAGGUCUUCAGUCCAUAGUUCAAAAUGCUCCUUUUAGUUGUAAAUCCAGUCCAGAGAAUCAGGGCAGGAAAGAGGCAAAAUGGAGAUAGCUCCAGGGUCUUUUAUACCCUUUGCCACAUGCCUGGAAAUGUACUGUCUCUACUUGGGGAAAGGUACUGGCCUAAGAUGGAGUCCAGGGUUACAUGAGCAUAUCACAUGUCCUUACAUAGCUUGAUGACUCUCGGGGUAGCCAUUGCCCAUAUUCUUGCUGAGGUGUCCACAGGAAGAGCUAUCUGGGUGGAGUGAGUUUCUUCUGUGUCCCAUUGUGAGAGCUAAGUGUCCUUGAUGUGCCAUCAAUAGAUAGCUGUCUGGCCUUAAUGUCUAUUUUACCUGGUGGGUGUUACCUAGGAAUACGAUGCAGCCGAUGAAAUGAGCUUUAGCUCAUGAAAGCUUAUGCUCAAAUAAAUUUGUUAGUCACUAAGGUGCCACAAGUCCUCCUUUUUCUUUUUGCGAAUACAGACUAACAUGGCUGCUACUCUGAAAUACGUAUGUAUGUUGCCAGUGCAUAGCCAAUAUUCAUAACUUCUGAUACAAAAAUGAUACAUGCGUAUAAACAGGAUCAUCAGACUUAGCAAAUCAGAAUUUUUCCACUGACACCUUACGUGCCCUACUUUGUAGAAGAUUUGAGGCAAAAUUGAGCAGGGGGUUGGACUAGAUGACCUCCUGAGGUCCCUUCCAACCCUGAUAGUCUAUGAUUCUAUGAAUAUCAAUGAUAUAAAUGGUCAUCUUAUUACACAGUGUCACACCCAGGUCUCUCGCCUCCCAGGUAGACUCCCUAACCACUAGACUACAGACUCAUUCUCCCUCAGGCUUAGGUUACAGUUCAGCACAUCUCCAAGGCAAUCUCUCCCUCUGGGCAAUGUAACUUGUGCCCCAAAGGGUUUUGCUGUGGGCAUGGCUACACUCGAAAGGUCAAAGCUCUGCCAUGGGAGUGCUCCUGCGGCAGUGCUUUGAAGUGUGAGUGUGGUCACACGCCAGUGCUGGGAGAGAGGGCUCCUGGUACUCCACCUCCCCGGGGGACAUUGUUUACACUGGCAUGUUACAGCACUGUAACUUGCUGCGCUCAGGGGGGUGUUUUCACACCCCUGGGCGAGAAUCUUGCAGCGCUGUAAAGUGCCAGUGAGCCAGAGCCUGUAUCUGAGUAUCUGCCCUUAACUUUUUCAACUGGAAUUCUACAGUGGGAAAAUUCCAGAAGAGAGACUUGCUUGUAAACAGAACAUACAAAGCUAUCAGGCCUCUUCUCUAACAACCCUGCACCAGCUUAAGGAAGUUUUUCAGCUGCGGUGGUAAUUUUAUCACUACACAUUUCUAUAGUACUUUGUGUCUGAGUACCUCAAAGUGCUUUACAAAUAACAGCUAAUUGGGGAGGUAACUCCCUUCUCUUCAUGUGUCAGUAUAAUAGUGCCUGCAUCUCUAAUUUUCACCCUAUGCAGCAGAAGAACUGGUUUUUUUUACCCACGAAAGCUUAUGCCCCAAUAAAUCUGUUAGUCUUUAAGGUG